RNAcentral lists this long non-coding RNA (207 nucleotides) under Panax ginseng (ginseng). RNAcentral describes it as "long non-coding RNA (PGIN_LNC011098)". The record is from RNAcentral. Lineage: Eukaryota; Viridiplantae; Streptophyta; Magnoliopsida; Apiales; Araliaceae.
UCGGAUUGGGAAGAACAGUGGUAAUGGGGGUUAUGCGAGAAGUGGGGAACUUUGAUUAGUAUUCUGAAAAGCCAUUGUUAAUUAGUUGCAGAGAGAAAUUUGGAGAAGAAGAGGAGCUAGGAAUAUCCGAAUUUCAAAUUAAGUUGGUAAAACUGUCAGAUUUGGGAGAAAGCAGCUUUUAUACUAGAGUUCUCUUCAACUUUUCAC